Molecule: ribosomal RNA, 465 nt
Filed under: Vreelandella stevensii
Lineage: Bacteria; Pseudomonadati; Pseudomonadota; Gammaproteobacteria; Oceanospirillales; Halomonadaceae
Description: partial 16S ribosomal RNA
Rfam family: Bacterial small subunit ribosomal RNA
Source: RNAcentral
CCUACGGGAGGCUGCAGUGGGGAAUAUUGGACAAUGGGCGAAAGCCUGAUCCAGCCAUGCCGCGUGUGUGAAGAAGGCCUUCGGGUUGUAAAGCACUUUCAGUGGGGAAGAAAGCCUUGGGGCUAAUACCCUCGAGGAAGGACAUCACCCACAGAAGAAGCACCGGCUAACUCCGUGCCAGUAGCCGCGGUAAUACGGAGGGUGCGAGCGUUAAUCGGAAUUACUGGGCGUAAAGCGCGCGUAGGCGGUCUGAUAAGCCGGUUGUGAAAGCCCCGGGCUCAACCUGGGAACGGCAUCCGGAACUGUCAGGCUAGAGUGCAGGAGAGGAAGGUAGAAUUCCCGGUGUAGCGGUGAAAUGCGUAGAGAUCGGGAGGAAUACCAGUGGCGAAGGCGGCCUUCUGGACUGACACUGACGCUGAGGUGCGAAAGCGUGGGUAGCAAACAGGAUUAGAUACCCUAGUAGUC